ACCACACGGUUGAUAUCUUUGUCUUCCAGCACCGCAACAUCAGCAACCCCGACUUCUUUCCGCAUAACCGGAACGCUAAAUCGCAUCUGUACAACCCACAAAAUGUAGCACCCUGAAUAAUAUAAUAAGUGUCAAAUGCUCUAGCAACAAUGCGAACGUUAAUUACUUGUGGACCCCAUCCCUAAGCACAAAACAUUCGCAAUAAUACUGGGGCAUCGGUGGCCGCAACGGUUUAGGCGUUGACACGGCGCUCAUCACUGUAAGGUAAAGGUCCGGGGUUCGAAUCUUAACAAUUCGACACCACACUUAACAAUUUCCCCAGGAAGUCUUCACAUGUAUAAAAAAAAUUAUGUUGGUCAGAGCGUAGAUUGCAGUUCUUAACACAUUGAAUAACCCCUAAAACAGGGCGUCGGUGGUUACAACGGUUUAGGCGUUGACACGGCGCUCAUCACUGUAAUGUAAAGGUCCCGGGUUCGAAUCCAGCGGCCCUGCAUUCGAACACGACAUACUUCCAACUGGGCUUAUUUUUUUUUCAAAAACACCCUGAGGGUUUCUAUGACAUCUGCUGUUGCAAAAACACAACACAAAAACAGUAAUACUACAAACGAAAGCAAACCCCAUUUAAUAUGACUGAUGAUUACACACAUUAUUUUUCAAAACUACAUACUUCUAAAAUGACCGAUUUGGAGCAUACUAUUUUCAAUAUAAUGUUAACGUUCAAUGUUUAAUUUAUCAUAUCUUUCAGCUUUGAUUGAUAUUUUCGUACGGAAAUCUCUCUAACAAAUUAAUGAAAAAAUUAAACCUCUCUUUUUAAUCAGGCGAUGAUUCUCAGAAUUGUUUGAAUAGUUUUAUGUUUUGUCAUAUCGUCACGUGCUAGCAUGUGCCUCGAUUUCAGCCUACGGGCAGAAAAAAGAAAAUAAAAAUCCCCAGUUAGUUAAUAUUGUGUGUUUACAAACGGUUAAGUGAUCAGAGAUUGCUUUGGUCGGGCCUGAUAACAGAAAUCACGGUAGAAGCGUGUGUCGACGAUGACGUCGCUUUCUCAUAUAUAAACCCGGCCCAUCGCCGAUUUAAUCAAACGAUUUCCAGUGAUCGAUCAGUGCAGUCGCUACAGUUCCAACAACUCACCUAAAACCUCGAGAUGUUGAUCGGAUCAUGCAGCCGUUACGUCACCGGAGGAAGAGCUCUCCAGACGGUUUACUGGAGGGCGAAGCCUUCGACAGGCGCAGAAUCGGCCAAGAUCAUCAAAACGAGCAAAACGCUUCAUUGGGGCCGAGAAAUCGCCAAAAGGCCUUACAUCAGCGAAGCGAUCAAAAACGGUCCGAGAUUCAUGUGAAAAUCAAGAAGACUCCAAUGUACUUAUUGUAAAUAGUGUACAUAAUUUUUUUACCUAAUAAAUCUAUUUAUUUCUUCAAAA
This is a long non-coding RNA of Cimex lectularius (bed bug), 1414 nucleotides long. RefSeq lists it as uncharacterized. NCBI's taxonomy places the organism in Eukaryota, Metazoa, Arthropoda, Insecta, Hemiptera, Cimicidae. The record is from RefSeq and is a predicted model, not a curated record. The transcript is spliced from 3 exons.